RNAcentral lists this long non-coding RNA (201 nucleotides) under Nicotiana benthamiana. Its description in RNAcentral is "long non-coding RNA (NBEN_LNC000035)". The record is from RNAcentral. Lineage: Eukaryota; Viridiplantae; Streptophyta; Magnoliopsida; Solanales; Solanaceae.
GUUACAGGGACAUUAUCAAGGACUUGGGAAGUUAGGGCUUCCAUUUCUAUUUUAUCGAGACGGGAUUUUAAUUCUCUAAGUUCUUGCUUAAGGGAAUUCAUUUCCUUGCGCAAGUCAGAGACGGAAGGCUCGGUCGAUUUAUCGAACCGGUUAAAAACUUGUUUCAUGCUAAAGGGUUCUAUAGCCCUGGAAGGAGAAGGC